Molecule: ribosomal RNA, 253 nt
Filed under: uncultured bacterium
Lineage: Bacteria
Description: partial 16S ribosomal RNA
Rfam family: Bacterial small subunit ribosomal RNA
Source: RNAcentral
CACGUAGGGGACGAGCGUUGUCCGGAUUCAUUGGGCGUAAAGCGCGCGUAGGCGGCUCGGAAAGUCGGUCGUGAAAUGCCGGGGCUCAACCCCGGGACUGCGUCCGAUACUCCCGAGCUGGAGGCAGGUAGGGGAGAUCGGAAUUCCUGGUGUAGCGGUGAAAUGCGCAGAUAUCAGGAGGAACACCGGUGGCGAAGGCGGAUCUCUGGGCCUUGCCUGACGCUGAGGCGCGAAAGCUAGGGGAGCAAACGGG